Molecule: unclassified non-coding RNA, 256 nt
Filed under: Hevea brasiliensis (rubber tree)
Lineage: Eukaryota; Viridiplantae; Streptophyta; Magnoliopsida; Malpighiales; Euphorbiaceae
Source: RNAcentral
CAAAAUUUAGACACAAUGUUUUACAAAAACAUUGCAGAUUCAAUUCAUAUUAGAUAUAUAAUAACUCAAAGAGCAUCACAUAUAUGGAAUAAAGUCAAGCUGAUGGGAAUAAGAUUUUUUCCUUUUUAUCCUGCGUUAAUUGAAAGAAAAUCCAAAAAACUAAAUCAACUCUUUAUAAACUUAAGGGUCUGCAAUAUAUCAUGAUCUAAUGUUGUCGUUAUUCUUCUUGAGCAACUCCUCGUUCAUCUCUUUGUUG